AUGCAUGUUGGUACGAUUAUGGAAUCAAAUGAUGCAACUUUCUUUGAGGACAUAUUUCCUAUGAAGGAUAUGUCGAGUUCAUCAAAUCAGGAGAUACCUACUCCAUCUAGUGAGGAAUUCACUAUAAUUCCUAAACCCACCAUUGCGAUGGAACACGUUGAGAAUCCUGUUGAGGGUAACAAUGGAACUCCUGUGAGGACUAAGAGACAGAGGACUGCAAAGUCUUUUGGUGAUGAUUUCAUUAUGUACCUCGUGGAUGACACACCCAGGACUAUUUCAGAAGCCUAUGCAUCUCCUGAUGCUGACUACUGGAAGGAAGUUGUACGUAGCGAGAUGGAUUCCAUCUUAGCUAACGGUACCUGGGAGAUCACUGACCGUCCUUAUGGGUGCAAACCUGUUGGAUGUAAGUGGGUGUUCAAGAAGAAGCUUAGACCUGAUGGUACGAUUGAAAAGUACAAGGCACGGCUUGUGGCCAAGGGUUAUACCCAGAAAGAAGGUGAAGACUUCUUUGAUACUUACUCACCCGUGGCUAGACUGACCAUAAUUCGGGUGCUACUAUCACUGGCUGCCUCACAUGGUCUUCUCGUUCAUCAAAUGGACGUUAAGACGGCUUUCCUCAAGGGAGAGUUGAAGGAGGAAAUUUACAUGGAUCAGCUAGAUGGUUUUGUAGUACCUGGUCAGGAAGGAAUGGUGUGCAAGUUAUUAAAGUCUUUAUGGCCUUAA
RNAcentral lists this ribosomal RNA (723 nucleotides) under Triticum aestivum (bread wheat). RNAcentral describes it as "partial small subunit ribosomal RNA". The record is from RNAcentral. Lineage: Eukaryota; Viridiplantae; Streptophyta; Magnoliopsida; Poales; Poaceae.